This 350-nucleotide ribosomal RNA is filed under the name Caridina africana. Its description in RNAcentral is "partial 12S ribosomal RNA". It matches the Rfam family "Microsporidia small subunit ribosomal RNA", at positions 761 to 1207 of the family's 1311-position model. Lineage: Eukaryota; Metazoa; Arthropoda; Malacostraca; Decapoda; Atyidae. The record is from RNAcentral.
AACAGUUAUGUUCUCGAAAUUUAAAGAAUUUGGCGGCUCUUCAGUCCAGUUAGAGGAACCUGUCCUGUAAACGAUAAACCACGAAUUAUCUUACUUUUUCUUGCUUUUUUCAAUUGGUAUACCGUCAUUAUUAGAUAAUCUUUAAAUAGAUUUGUCUGAAUAGAUUAUUGUUUCUAGAAUAUUAGAUCAGGGUGCCGUCGAUGAAAAAGAAGAGAUGGGUUACAAUGCUACUUAGUAAAUGAAUGAUGAAGUGAAAGUUUCGUUUGAAGGUGGAUUUAAUAGUAGAGGCGUCUAUAGUGAGGACUCUCGAUUAUGGUCCUGAAGAGUGUACACAUCGCCCGUCACUCUCA